This 497-nucleotide ribosomal RNA is filed under the name uncultured bacterium. Its description in RNAcentral is "partial 16S ribosomal RNA". It matches the Rfam family "Bacterial small subunit ribosomal RNA", at positions 28 to 507 of the family's 1533-position model. The record is from RNAcentral.
GAUGAACGCUGGCGGCGUGCCUAAUACAUGCAAGUCGAGCGAACGGACGAGAAGCUUGCUUCUCUGAUGUUAGCGGCGGACGGGUGAGUAACACGUGGAUAACCUACCUAUAAGACUGGGAUAACUUCGGGAAACCGGAGCUAAUACCGGAUGAUAUUUUGAACCGCAUGGUUCAAAAGUGAAAGACGGUCUUGCUGUCACUUAUAGAUGGAUCCGCGCUGCAUUAGCUAGUUGGUAAGGUAACGGCUUACAAAGGCAACGAUGCAUAGCCGACCUGAGAGGGUGAUCGGCCACACUGGAACGGAGACACGGUCCAGACUCCUACGGGAGGCAGCAGUAGGGAAUCUUCCGAAAAGGGCGAAAGCCUGACGGAGCAACGCCGCGUGAGUGAUGAAGGUCUUCGGAUCGUAAAACUCUGUUAUUAGGGAAGAACAUAUGUGUAAGUAACUGUGCACAUCUUGACGGUACCUAAUCAGAAAGCCACGGCUAACUACGUG